Molecule: ribosomal RNA, 492 nt
Filed under: uncultured bacterium
Lineage: Bacteria
Description: partial 16S ribosomal RNA
Rfam family: Bacterial small subunit ribosomal RNA
Source: RNAcentral
AGUGAACGCUGGCGGUAGGCCUAACACAUGCCAGUCGAACGGCAGCACAGUAAGAGCUUGCUCUUACGGGUGGCGAGUGGCAGACGGGUGAGGAAUACAUCGGAAUCUACUUUUUCGUGGGGGAUAACGUAGGGAAACUUACGCUAAUACCGCAUACGACCUACGGGUGAAAGCAGGCGGUCUUCGGACCUUGCGCGAUUGAGUGAGCCGAUGUCGGAUUAGCUAGUUGGCGGGGUACAGCCCCACCCCGGCGACGAUCCGUAGCUGGUCGCAGUGGAUGAUCACCCGUACUGGAAUUGAGACACGGCCCAGCCUCCUACGGGAGGCAGCAGUGGGGAAUAUUGGACAAUGGGCGCAAGCCUGAUCCAGCCAUCCCGCGUGGGUGAAGAAGGCCUUCGGGUUGUAAAGCCCUUUUGUUGGGAAAGAAAAGCAGCAGGUUAAUACCCCGCUGUGCUGACGGUACCCAAAGAAUAAGCACCGGCUAACUUCGUG